CACGGAAUGAAUGUUACACUGCAACCAGGCGGCUUGGUCAGAAAGGAUCCCUUCGGCUGGAAUGUACCUGGCCACGGUUCUGAGGAAACUUGGAUGAAGUUGUGAAAACCAUAAACUGUUUUUUUUUUUUUUUUCAUUUACUUGGAAAUUGCUGAAACUCAGGGAACACAAAUCCACUGAGACAGAAGCAAAAGAAAAAGGUUGUCAUUCUUCUCACUUGCCAUUGUGCCCACUUCUUCCCGAUGCCUUGCCAGGACACACGUCGAGAUGCUGAGCAAGUCCUUGAAGGAAGGAACACAACUCCCUUUCUUUCUGCACAAUGAAAGCUGGUAUAUUGCUGUGUGACACCAGACAGUUAUUCAUCAAGGGUGUUCUUUGCACAAGUGAGAGGCUUUGUCCAAGAGGACGAUGGCUGCGACGCUGAUAAAGCUAAUAAUCCGCAGCUUCUAUGUGAUGCUUUUCCUCCUCGCCUGCCGAAGGACUUCACAAAGGAUGGCAUUCUUAUCCUGCCAUUAUAGAAGAAGGCAACUAAUGCAACAAAGAGUGAAGAAACUAGUCCAAGAUAAGUCAAGAUGUUUGCUGGAAGCUGCUGUGCCAUGGUGGCUAGAGGCUGAGAUCCACAGAGGGAAUAAAAGCCACAAAAAAAGCCUCCUCUGGGCCACUCUGGAAGGAAGUCAGAAGGUUUACAUAUGGAAAUUAUCUGUUUGCCAGGGACUCAGGGGUUGAAGGGAGACCCGUGAAGUGUUGGCGCCCGGGCCAGCGUAAACUGGGCCAAGACCCAGCGUAUCCUGAACACAUACAUCAUUUUCAACAGGGAGCUGUCAAGCAGCACAGAGCCAGUCAGAUAUCACUGGAGAAAAAUCUCUGCUCUUCGGGGACGGGAGGAAUCUCUCCGUGACUCAAGAGCGGACGGCUUGGCAGCGGCGGCUCGGCCAACUCCUGUCAGUGGAUUAACAAAUUACGCAGAUAUGCUCUCCGCUUUGUAUUUACAGCACAUGACUGGAAAGAAGAAGGCGCAGUCGGAAGGGAUAAUGCGAGAAGAGCUCAGUUUCCACAUGUAGUGUCAGCUGGACGGCCAGAAGGGAGUCUGAUGAAAGCCAGCAGCCUGCAGCAGGAUGCUGCCUGUCUGUCUACCUCGAGCGCCUAUACCCCGGUGUUUAAGGGCAUACGAUCCCAUCUCCUCAUCCCAGAUAAGACACAGCAUCACAAGCUACUGAUAUUUCCCUCUAAGUCCCAAUGCUUAAGCUAAUGCUGAGCCUGUGUCUUUAAGCCCUGUUUGUUGCUCCUCUCGUUGCCAUAGCAUUUAGUGUUUCCAUGUUGGAGAUUUCCUUUUUUUUUUUUUUUUCCAGACAUUACCCCAUCAGCACAGCUCCAGACCUGGGAUUCCAGCCACUUUUUGGCUAAGAGGAAACUAAUUCUUGUUGCUAUAAAAGUAUCAUGCCAUGUAAAUGCCUGUGGCUCGGAUCUAGGUCCCCGUGUCUAGGAAUAGCAGCACAGCUCUGGGGGAGUGGGAGAGGAGAGGAGAGGAGGGAGCAAGCAGACCUCUGCGCGUCUCAUCUCCUUCCUCCGAGUCAACCUGUCCUCCCCAGGCCAGGAAGAAGAAUGGGCCUUCCCAAUCUUCCAGCACAGUAGCAAACCCUGUUUUUUUUUUUUUUUUUGGCAUGAAGGACACUUGCCUCUGGGUUGCACCUGCCUGAGAGGGCCGAGGCCACCAGCCCCACCAGCAGUGCUGACCCACUGUGAGGUCCUGGGCUGAGCUGCAGCUGAGAGAAGAUAUCCUCUGCUUGAGUGCAGUGACUCUGAGACAAAAGAAAUUGCUCAGUUUGGGCCAGAUCCAAAGCCCAAGGCAGCAGGAGCUCAUCCAGCCCUUCCAGAGGUGCCGCUCCCUGGUUAGAUGCAGCCCAUCCAUAUGGACUUGGGGCAUGAGGUGGGCACGGGACAAAGCGUGGCACCAGAGCCCCCUCCCUUGCGACAUCCCCCCUUUGCAGCCGCAUAAAACUGAGUGAAGUCUGCUCCUUGCACUCAGACAUUAACGCUGCCCUGAAAUCACCACGCUGGCCAGAGCUUCUGCUCGCCUAUCCGGAACACAGAAGUAAUGAAUGGAUAUUUAAUUGCCGUAGUAAAGUGUCUGCUGAUACAGGGAUGGAAAAUAUGAGCUAAGCACAAAGUACCACUAAUAUUAAGCUAUUUCUUACAGCAUUGUUAGCACUGCUUCGUGCAAAUCAUUGCUAUUGACUCACCCUGGCACACACAUUAUUUAUGCUGCGCAAAGUGUCAAUCUGUCACAUUGCAGCACAGAUUGGAAGAAUAAGAUAAAAUGCUCUGGGGAAUACGGCGUGAAGCUUUAACUGGCUCCGAGUAACAGCUACCGCUAAUUAUUAACAUUAUGUGUUCUAUUAAAUUACAUUCCAAUAAUAAAGCAUUUCAGCUACUGUAUUAUGUCA
This 2444-nucleotide long non-coding RNA is filed under the name Anas platyrhynchos platyrhynchos (common mallard). RNAcentral describes it as "lncRNA (ENSAPLG00000022327.1)". Lineage: Eukaryota; Metazoa; Chordata; Aves; Anseriformes; Anatidae. The record is from RNAcentral.